Molecule: long non-coding RNA, 930 nt
Organism: Phasianus colchicus (ring-necked pheasant)
Lineage: Eukaryota; Metazoa; Chordata; Aves; Galliformes; Phasianidae
Source: RefSeq, a predicted model, not a curated record
UGAAGGGAACAAAGUAUUACCCUAUGUUAGUCUAAGAGACAGUUUUAAUUUGAUGGUGUUUGUGGCUUUUCCUAAAUGCUUAUACUAAUUUUGUCCCAAAUUUUUCAUUCACUCAUGACAAUGCACACUUAAUCCUUCUGAUUUUCUAAUCUUCUUGUACCCAGAGGAGUAUUAUUCUUUCAUCCUACCAGUAAUUUGCAAAUGAUGUGGAAAAAAAAACUAAACAGAGAUUCCCACAAUAAACGGACAUUUUGUCUUUUGUCAGGAGGGGGGGGGGUCUCUUAUUCUAUGGGCAAAUGGGCCCACACCAACCAGGACUUUAUAAAUCCUACUAGUAUCUUACUUUAUCCUUCCAUUUUAACAGCAGUGUGCAGUGGUAGCUUAAUGCAAUCGAAACCCUUUUUGCUUUCAGCUGGAACUGCCAUAUGGAAACUUGUUAAAAGAUGUAAUAACUUUCCAUAAAAACUGUCGUGACUAGCACUAUUUAUCUAUUCACACACUUGUACAGCAGUCUUCUGUAAGGAUUUUGCUAGCUGUCCCAAAGCUUGCUGAGAUGGACAUAUGUCAGCUUGGACUGCCAGUGAGAAGUAAUGUGUAAAAGAAAGCUUACAAGGUCAUUACAAGGCACAAAUGGUUGUGGAUUCAGUGAAAUAUGCUUGAAACGGUGGACUCGAGGGACCCCCAGCCUCUGUGCUCUGGAAAAAAGCAGCCAUCCCUGCGGGGUCCUGAUCACGCAUGCAACAGGUAUUUAUGGACAUUGAUGAGAUGCCCGUGAGCCUUCCCUUCUCCAGGCUGCACAGUCCUGCAUAUCUCACUGUUCAUCCCACUUGUAGGGUUCAAGACUCAUGGUUAUAUUUUACAGAAAUGGUGAAGACUCCCAUCAAUAACACUAAUCCCACUAUUUUGCAAUUCUUCCUCUCCUAGAUUCCG